GACGAACGCUGGCGGCGUGCUUAACACAUGCAAGUCGAACGGAAAGGCCUGCUUUCCCUUGUGGAUUGCGGGUACUCGAGUGGCGAACGGGUGAGUAACACGUGAGUGAUCUGCCCCCAACUUGGGUAUAAGCCUGGGAAACUGGGUCUAAUUCCCGAUAGGACUGCAGGGUGGUGCCUGUGGUGGAAAACGAUUUUCUAGUGGUUGGGGAUGAGCUCGCGGCCUAUCAGCUUGUUGGUGGGGUAAUGGCCUACCAAGGCGGCGACGGGUAGCCGGCCUGGGGGGGUGGACGGCCACAUUGGGACUGAGAUACGGCCCAGACUCCUACGGGAGGCAGCAGUGGGGAAUAUUGCACAAUGGGCGGAAGCCUGAUGCAGCGACGCCGCGUGGGGGAUGACGGCCUUCGGGUUGUAAACUCCUUUCGACCGCGAGGAAGCCACCUGGUUGGAAGGGUGGUGACGGUAGUGGUAGAAGAAGCACCGGCUAACUACGUG
This 494-nucleotide ribosomal RNA is filed under the name uncultured bacterium. Its description in RNAcentral is "partial 16S ribosomal RNA". It matches the Rfam family "Bacterial small subunit ribosomal RNA", at positions 28 to 507 of the family's 1533-position model. The record is from RNAcentral.